Molecule: ribosomal RNA, 253 nt
Filed under: uncultured bacterium
Lineage: Bacteria
Description: partial 16S ribosomal RNA
Rfam family: Bacterial small subunit ribosomal RNA
Source: RNAcentral
GACGUAGGGGGCCAGCGUUGUUCGGAAUUACUGGGCGUAAAGGGCUCGUAGGCGGCCAACUAAGUCGGAUGUGAAAUCCCCAAGCUUAACUUGGGAACUGCAUCCGAUACUGGAUGGCUUGAAUCCGGGAGAGGGAUGCAGAAUUCCAGGUGUAGCGGUGAAAUGCGUAGAUAUCUGGAGGAACACCGGUGGCGAAGGCGGCAUCCUGGACCGAGAUUGACGCUGAGGCGCGAAAGCCAGGGGAGCAAACGGG